RNAcentral lists this transfer RNA (69 nucleotides) under Fukomys damarensis (Damara mole-rat). The stretch from base 4 to 64 matches the Rfam family "tRNA", at positions 6 to 65 of the family's 71-position model. Rfam says of the family: Transfer RNA (tRNA) molecules are approximately 80 nucleotides in length. Their secondary structure includes four short double-helical elements and three loops (D, anti-codon, and T loops). Further hydrogen bonds mediate the characteristic L-shaped molecular structure. tRNAs have two regions of fundamental functional importance: the anti-codon, which is responsible for specific mRNA codon recognition, and the 3' end, to which the tRNAs corresponding amino acid is attached (by aminoacyl-tRNA synthetases). tRNAs cope with the degeneracy of the genetic code in two manners: having more than one tRNA (with a specific anti-codon) for a particular amino acid; and 'wobble' base-pairing, i.e. permitting non-standard base-pairing at the 3rd anti-codon position. Lineage: Eukaryota; Metazoa; Chordata; Mammalia; Rodentia; Bathyergidae. The record is from Rfam by way of RNAcentral.
GCAUGUAGCUCAGUGGUAGAGCAUUUGCCUAACAUGUGCAAGACCCUAGGUUCACCCCCUAGCACUGCA